Molecule: ribosomal RNA, 487 nt
Filed under: uncultured bacterium
Lineage: Bacteria
Description: partial 16S ribosomal RNA
Rfam family: Bacterial small subunit ribosomal RNA
Source: RNAcentral
GAUGAACGCUAGCGAUAGGCUUAACACAUGCAAGUCGAGGGGCAGCACAAGGUAGCUUGCUAUCUGGGUGGCGACCGGCGCACGGGUGCGUAACGCGUAUGCAACUUGCCCUAUACAGGAGGAUAACCCGUCGAAAGACGGACUAAUACUGCGUAUGCUCACAACUUGGCAUCAAGUGGUGAGGAAAGAAAUUCGGUAUAGGAUAGGCAUGCGUCCCAUUAGCUUGUUGGUGAGGUAACGGCUCACCAAGGCAACGAUGGGUAGGGGAACUGAGAGGUUUAUCCCCCACACUGGUACUGAGACACGGACCAGACUCCUACGGGAGGCAGCAGUGAGGAAUAUUGGUCAAUGGGCGCGAGCCUGAACCAGCCAAGUCGCGUGAAGGAUGACUGUCUUAUGGAUUGUAAACUUCUUUUAUACGGGAAUAACAAGAGUCACGUGUGACCCCCUGCAUGUACCGUAUGAAUAAGCAUCGGCUAACUCCGUG